CGCAGCCCUGCUCCGCGUUUCUUUUGUCUCGGUGCGAGGCCGCCGCGCACCCCCGCCCCGCCCCGCCAAACUUUCGGCGAGGACCUCGGCGCCCCGACGGCCGCCUGCGGGCCGGGGCAGGGCAAGGGUACUGGGGCAGCCGCGGUUUCCGCCUGGGGCCGCGCCGUGGCUGCCGGCAGCGCCCGCGGCGGGUGUCCCCGUGGGGACGGCCGGAGGGCAGGUGAAGGGCCGCGGGGCUGCGGGCGGCCCCCACCUUCCCUUCUUGUUUCUUCGGAACGGAUGCUGUCGGCCUCGUCUUCGCGCUGUACGCAACAGGUCAAAACAUGGUCGUCAGGGAAAAUGGGAUGGUUGCCAAAACAUCAGUGUGUGAUAGGUGCCAUAUUGCAUUAUUCUCCGAGUGUUGGAAUACAGCUUGGGAUUCUUCAGGGGUGGCUAACACAGUACAAACUGUACCAUACAGCUGCUGAAUGUCUUAAACAUUUGGAUUCAUACAUAACUUCUGGAAGAAGUGGAGGAGCCUCUUGCCGAAAUUUGUGGAUAUUGUGUAAAAUGCUGCUGAGACACAUUUGGAUUAUAUUGUCACCUGACAUCAAGGUUCUGCAGCUAAUGAAAGGAAUUCACCAGAUCUUUUUGUUACGUGGUUGCUGAAGCAUUAAUCCUGGGACAGAAGUAAUGAUUGAUGAACACCCUUCAGGCUUGAGUCACAGAGUAACGUGGGGAUUUACACUUUUGAAGUAGGAAUGUGAAUGCAAUUGAAGGAUUUAUAUGGAGGAUUCUGUUCCUUCCUGCUCCAGGAAAGACAGGUUCCUGAAGAAAGAGAGAAUUCAUAGGUGAUACAUGACCCUAGAAAAGUUCUGAUUUCUAGGGUGAAGAAGAGUUUUCUUACACACAGAUAACCUGUUAAACUGGGCACGAAGCUAUACCAUUCAGAAGAAGUGAGAUUGUCUUUCCCUACAGCUACGAGACUGCACUGAUCUCGACACAACCUGCUUUUCCGUCCAUUUACCUGGGCGGCUGCUGCCGUUUCUGCUGCUGCUGGGGCUGCCACAGUCUCACUGCCUGCGCUUCACCCCGGCUUGGCUGGCUCAAAACUCACUCGUCUGCACAUUGCUACAAAGAGCGAUGGAGCUGCGUUUUUUCUGUUGGUUCUGGAAGCAAAGAGUUGCAAUAUGUGAUGACUUUGGGAUUUUCUUUGGGGGGGAUGUGGAGGGAGGAGAAAGGAGGGGUGUUAUUCUAGGUUGGGGUGGGUGAAAGCUUAAAGAAAUAUUAUGUAAAGUAAUCCAGUGCUCGACAAGGGCAUCAGCAGCAAGAAUCCAGCCUCUGCUGCUCCAGAGGAUUAACAUGGGGAAGCCACAGUGCUGCAGUCGGGUUUCACCUCAGCGUUGUGCUGGAGAUGGAUAAAUAAGGUAUUGGUUGUGUCUGCCUGUUAAGGCAAAGCCAUGGGAGAAGGAGAGAGCGAGCGAAUGCAAAUGCAAAGGAAGAAGAAAUGCUACAUGCCGUUUGUCUGAUUCCAGGCAUUCCUAUUGCAGAGAGGAUGGCUCGAUUAACAAAGCAAUGUAUGGAUGGCGGGGACUGUAAAUUGUAGCUUGAACACUCCUGAUGCUGUCAGUGAAGGAACUGAUGAGCUAGGUGGUUGCAGCGAUAUCCCCAGGGGAAACAGCAGCCAUGCACUCUGUGUGUAUAUAUAUAUGUAUGUAAGUGCUUUUGUGUGUGUGUGAGCAUGUACAGACAUGAAAGAAAGACAUUUCUGACCAAUUUACAGAGGAAGUUUGUCACUUCACUAGGUCAGACUUGAUUGCAGCUUGCAUUUUCAGCUAUAGCUCUACACCCAUUUCCUGACUGAGGCGGCACUUUGUGAAAACAGAUGGUAGGCAGAAUUCUUUUAAGAAACGUGAAAGCAGAUCCUUUCCGCUUAACACCUUGAAGCACUGAGUCUUCUGCACUGUGCUGUGAGAAACUGUGGGGUUUCAUUUCCCCAUCUUAAAAUCUUUAUAAACACAGCUGUAUUCAGUAUGGUGAAAAAUUCUAUCCUGUAAAUAGAAAUGUGAUCAAUCUAAUCAAAAUAAAUGCAUCCCAGAUGACUUCUA
Molecule: RNA transcript, 2087 nt
Organism: Neopsephotus bourkii (Bourke's parrot)
Lineage: Eukaryota; Metazoa; Chordata; Aves; Psittaciformes; Psittacidae
Exons: 6
Source: RefSeq, a predicted model, not a curated record